Molecule: long non-coding RNA, 3064 nt
Organism: Cygnus atratus (black swan)
Lineage: Eukaryota; Metazoa; Chordata; Aves; Anseriformes; Anatidae
Exons: 2
Source: RefSeq, a predicted model, not a curated record
AGUAACAGGGAAGUGAUGGUUCAGCAAAGAGAGAGCAGAAAAUGGUUCAUUGGACUGAAACCUUCUUGAAUUAGCAGAGACUGACAGCCUUUUCAUUUGAGAAAAUACUUGCCAUCAUCAGUCCAGUUACCAGUGGGUUGAUGCUCACUCAGAAAAACAUGAUCAUAUCGCUGGAAGCAUGAGCAGAGAUGCCAAAGAAAGUGUGAAUAUAUAGUGCUCAGUAAUCUCUCACACAUCUAGAAAUGCAUCUUCGUAAGACACUUCUUUGUACAAAGAUCCAUCGACAGGAUCAUAAAUUCCUUAUAUACGUAAUGAACCAAAAAACUGUCUUGGAUCCUGCCAAGCAAUAGAUGGCAUAGGUUUCUCUGUCAUUAUUCUCAGAAAAAUGCCAUCACAUUUUUCAGAGGUCUCAGCAGGGAAGUCUAAGACCCUGUGACUAUACAGCGCCCAUGAACGUGUCCUUCAGCCUGCAAUGCUGUGAGCCCUUGGAUAUGCCAAAGAGACCACAUUCCUAGGAGACGGGAAAGAAAAUGGAAAAAAAAUUAGGCCACAGUGAAGCCUUUCUAAAAAGUGCUGGGGGAACCAUUGCUUAUCGUGAUAGUGACAAACUUCUGAGCCUUGAGGAUUCUCCCUUGUUCCUCCUCCAAGUCCAGGAAUCCAUGUAUGAAGCGUAUUACUUAAUUUCAAUUACAAUGUUAAUUAUAGAAGACAAGCGGUUACUGAAUCUUGCACCAUAAUUAAUCAACCUGAUAUUUACUUACUACAUUGUUCCUACCGGAUUAAGCUGUAGCUAGACAAGCAGGGCAAGGAAAGUGAGCGACAGAAGCAUUAUCAUGGCACACUGCCUCCCAUUGGGAAAGUUCAUCGUCCUUCUCAAAGAGACGCCUUCAGGGAUCAUGUAAUUUGAAUUCCCUGUGAAUUUGGUGUCAUCUUAGCUUGACCAGCUCUGGAAGAACAUAUUAACCUCCCCUUGUGAUUUUCAGAAAACCAUUCUAAUUUAGCAAGUAAUUAAGGGUCACAUGUAGGAUAAGGAGCUGGAUAAGCUUGGAUUACGCACAGGAAGCUUUGUCUCCACGGCAACCCCGGCGGAGAGCUGCUGGCACCGGGGUCAGGCCGUCACUGAAGCCCGCGCUGCGUUUCCACCUGGUGAGCCAGUGCUGGAAACAAACGCCCACAAAGCUGGUCAUCGCCAAAAACUCCGGGACAAAGGCUGCAGCCAGUGGGAGUGUUCUGCCGAGCGAGGUAGAGAGAAGUCCACGACAGUGACGCUUGACAGACCCCGUGUCUUUGUAAGCUAAAAUUUCUUCAGUCAUCAUCCAUGGCUUUCGCUCUGCGUGAAGCAGCCGGUGUCUGCGCAAGCUGCUGCCGCUAACGCUUGGCCUCCGAGCCCGACGUCAGCCUCUGGCUGGCUGCGGGCCGUGCCCACGGGCGGCAGGGCACGGGGCACCCCAGCUCAGGGCAUGACGCCCCGUCCCAGGGCUGCAGGCUCUCGGAGACAAUCUCCUAGAUCUGUCGGGGCAGGCACGGUGGGUUAACUCCACAGGCAUGGCUAAAAUAUCCAAGCAGCUCGUUCGGACACGUACCUUUUAUUUUUAGGUUUGAAACCAGGAAAACAACGUUUUUCUUUCUCACUCUGGAGGAACUUUCAGAUUUCUAUCAAAUUUAAAAUCAACUCCCCUGACUUCAGAAAUUCCUUGUUCUCACCAGCUUUUAUUUCUAUGAAAAUAUACAGGCUUUCCAGUGGAAGAGGCUUUUUAACAAGCAAAUAAGUUAACAUUUUCUGUUAACAUUGCUUAAUGUAAGAAACAUUAGGGAAUCCAAUUAUUGUGCUAUAAAGCAGCAUUACUGAAAUAUUAUAGGGUUCAAAGAGUACCUAUUUGAUGACCUAUUGGAUAUGAAAUGCUUUCUGAAUUCGUUUGUACCUUAGCUAUCUCCUGUGAUCUGUGAGGGAAAGAACCACGCAGGUUUUUUUCAAAGCUCUCUUCAAAACAAAUAAGCAUUCUCUACUUUUUGCUAAAAUCAGAUGACAUUGUCAUACUAUCCAUUUUAACAGUUGGGCCCAUUCUUGGAUCUGGAAUGCAGGUACAUCUAACUUUAUACCAUACUUUUUGUAAAUGCGUCUCCGUUGUGGAUAUAUAAAUGAGGACAAUUUUUAUUUCACCUUCUCUCUGCUAUUUUCAUGUGCAGCCUUUGUUUUGCAGUAGACCACUGCUGGCACUGCGGGAAUUGAGACACUCCACUCUCUCGAACAUGUACAUUAGAACUUGCCAUAAAAAGAAGACUGUGAUGAAGGUGAGCUGAGAACCUGUCAUGUUUGUGGCGGCCACUGGCCCCAGCGAGUCUCCAGUGAGCGUUACGUAUACUGCUGCUCACAGAAAACUGACCAAAGGAGAGCACUGCAAGGAGGAGAGAUCUGGAAAACACAGCUGUCAGUAAAGGCACACUUCUUACAUCAGUAAAGAUUAGAUGAAGGGGAGCACACCACAGCCCAUCAAACAUAAAAAUGGUUCUUUUUUAAAAAAAAAAAAAAAAAAAACAGAAACAAAUUUACCUUCUGUGUCGACAAGUAACUGUUAAAAAGAAUAGUGGCUUUAAAUGAGUAUUGGUUUUAAACAGGAAAUUUUGUAUUUGUUACAACUGCAGAGUACCUGGAGAGAGUGCUGACAAGGCAUAGCAUCUCUGCACAGGCUUUAUUGGGAAAAGUGUCUGUGCUGCAGUGUCUGCUUGGCACUAUGCAGGACAGAUCAUCUCUGAGAAUUCCUUCCUUUCUAUCUGCUUCCUGUGAUAAUCCUUGCUCUGCUUUAUUCUUCGUAUUUCACAGUUCCAGGCUAAAAAAAGUCACAAUAGUAUCUAAUUCCUCAAGUGGUAUUACCAGGACAGUUAAAGGACUUCAGCAGUGUUGUUAGUAAUAAUUUGUUUGCACGUAAAAAUGCUGUACAGACUGAGAUAGGGACAGAGAACAUUCUCUGGUUAUUUUAUUAUUUUAUUUAUCGUGCUACAUCUUUGGUUCCCCUGGCCUGGACUAACAUUAGAGUUUCUAAAAUAAAGUAUCCUUGUUCAAACA